GACGAACGCUGGCGGCGUGCUUAACACAUGCAAGUCGAACGGAAAGGCCCUGCUUUUGUGGGGUGCUCGAGUGGCGAACGGGUGAGUAACACGUGAGUAACCUGCCCUUGACUUUGGGAUAACUUCAGGAAACUGGGGCUAAUACCGGAUAGGAGCUCCUGCUGCAUGGUGGGGGUUGGAAAGUUUCGGCGGUUGGGGAUGGACUCGCGGCUUAUCAGCUUGUUGGUGGGGUAGUGGCUUACCAAGGCUUUGACGGGUAGCCGGCCUGAGAGGGUGACCGGCCACAUUGGGACUGAGACACGGCGCAGAAUCCUACGGGAGGCAGCAGUGGGGAAUAUUGUACAAUGGGCGGAAGCCUGAUGCAGCAACGCCGCGUGCGUGAUGACGGCCUUCGGGUUGUAAACCGCUUUCGCCUGUGACGAAGCGGGAGUGACGGUAAUGGGUAAAGAAGCACCGGCUAACUACGUG
Molecule: ribosomal RNA, 468 nt
Filed under: uncultured bacterium
Lineage: Bacteria
Description: partial 16S ribosomal RNA
Rfam family: Bacterial small subunit ribosomal RNA
Source: RNAcentral